Anopheles stephensi (Asian malaria mosquito) is the source of this 1025-nucleotide long non-coding RNA. RefSeq lists it as uncharacterized. Lineage: Eukaryota; Metazoa; Arthropoda; Insecta; Diptera; Culicidae. The record is from RefSeq and is a predicted model, not a curated record. The transcript is spliced from 3 exons.
UAAACUCCGAAUAAUCCAAAAUGUGUUUUUAUACAUUAAUGAUUUCCUAUAACUCAUGUUAAAUUGAGCGUAUUCACUGGAGGAGUAUUAGAGGCGAGGCAACAGUAAACGCCACAAAAGCACACUUGACAUUGACAUGACACUGUCUUUGUACAAGUGUAUCGGAUUAGCCCAGCAUCGCGUAUUAGUGGCUUUUUGUUGGCUCAAUAACUGAGCAAGUUGCUGUCACCGUCCGUGUGGUAUAUAAGACGCGCUUGGAAGCGUAUCUGAAGAAUUACGCAGGGAACGUAAAAUCUUCAAACAGCCAUGUUACUUAGAUUAAGUGUACUAACUGUUGUGCUCUUGAUGCAGCUACUCUUCCUUAAUGCACAAUCCCCUGAACCCGAGAGUAAGAGGCCAGCCUGCAAGCCGAACGAAGCAUUCAUGGUAUGCGGCAACAAGUGUAUGGAUAUAACUUGUAUGACAAAUAAAUCCGAGCGUUUCUUCGUGGAGAAUUUUUUUACCAAUUUACAUGAAGAAUUGCUGCUCUUGAUCAGCUGUCUUACAUACUAUUCUUUCGAUGGAUAGACAAAAACUGUAUUGUGUGUGGAGUUGGUGAAACUCACAACACUAUGGCAAGCUAACCUCUCUCGCGUGUACACGUACUGUAUCUUGAAUACCUUCCGGCUUUGUUCAGGUGUCUAGCUAUUUUUUCAUUUAGCAUGUAAUACACGCCAGCUAUCAAUAGCGAUAAGGGAAGCAUUUUAUGCUUUAACUCUUCUGGUAUAUAAGAGACAGAUCAAAUCGGGGGUUUGAAAUCUUCAUUUGGAGAAGGAACUAUCCGGCAGCAGCAAUGUUACACAGGCUGAUUAUUCUAGCUGCUGUGCUUUCAAUGCAGCUGCUCCUUCUUAAUGCUCAGAGGGCUCAGAUCUGCAAGGCGAACGAAAGGUACGUUCAAUGCAGCAACAGGUGUAAAGAACCGCAGUGCAACAAACGACACUUUCUAAUGUGUCCUGAAAUAUGUCAGCCUGGUUGUUACUGCAUUA